Molecule: ribosomal RNA, 400 nt
Filed under: uncultured bacterium
Lineage: Bacteria
Description: bacterial SSU rRNA
Rfam family: Bacterial small subunit ribosomal RNA
Source: RNAcentral
UGGGGAAUAUUGGGCAAUGGGCGAAAGCCUGACCCAGCAACGCCGCGUGAAGGAAGAAGGUUUUCGGAUUGUAAACUUCUGUCCUCAGGGAAGAAAAAAAUGACGGUACCUGAGGAGGAAGCCCCGGCUAACUACGUGCCAGCAGCCGCGGUAAUACGUAGGGGGCGAGCGUUGUCCGGAAUGACUGGGCGUAAAGGGCGCGUAGACGGCUGUCUAAGUCUGGAGUGAAAGUCCUGCUUUCAAGGUGGGAAUUGCUUUGGAGACUGGAUGGCUUGAGUGCGGAAGAGGUAAGUGGAAUUCCCAGUGUAGCGGUGAAAUGCGUAGAGAUUGGGAGGAACACCAGUGGCGAAGGCGACUUACUGGGCCGUAACUGACGUUGAUGCGCGAAAGCGUGGGGAGC